This 301-nucleotide ribosomal RNA is filed under the name uncultured bacterium. Its description in RNAcentral is "partial 16S ribosomal RNA". It matches the Rfam family "Bacterial small subunit ribosomal RNA", at positions 509 to 807 of the family's 1533-position model. The record is from RNAcentral.
CAGCCGCCACGGUAAUACGAAGGGUGCAAGCGUUACUCGGAAUUACUGGGCGUAAAGCGUGCGUAGGUGGUGGUUUAAGUCCGUUGUGAAAGCCCUGGGCUCAACCUGGGAAUUGCAGUGGAUACUGGGUCACUAGAGUGUGGUAGAGGAUAGUGGAAUUUCCGGUGUAGCAGUGAAAUGCGUAGAGAUCGGAAGGAACAUCUGUGGCGAAGGCGACUAUCUGGGCCAACACUGACACUGAUGCACGAAAGCGUGGGGAGCAAACAGGAUUAGAUACCCCUGUAGUCCCUGUCUCUUAUAC